GUUUCCGUAGUGUAGUGGUAAUCACGUUCGCCUAACACGCGAAAGGUCUCCGGUUCGAGCCCGGACGGAAACA
RNAcentral lists this transfer RNA (73 nucleotides) under Ciona intestinalis (vase tunicate). Its description in RNAcentral is "tRNA-Val (AAC) (tRNA-Val-AAC-6-1)". It matches the Rfam family "tRNA". From Rfam's summary of the family: Transfer RNA (tRNA) molecules are approximately 80 nucleotides in length. Their secondary structure includes four short double-helical elements and three loops (D, anti-codon, and T loops). Lineage: Eukaryota; Metazoa; Chordata; Ascidiacea; Phlebobranchia; Cionidae. The record is from Rfam by way of RNAcentral.